UUUUGCAUUGCAUAACUUUUUACUACUGAUCCUGUACUAUUACUGUAUCCUAGAUGAUGUAUAGUGAUAAAUUCUAAAGGAUAUAUUUUAUUUGUUUUAUAAAUUUCAUAUUAAAAUUUUGCUAAGUUCUUUGUUAUCUAAGGAGAAUUGUUACCUUUAGCCUCACAUGUUGUGCCUAUUUGUAGAAUCAAGAUUAGAAGGAUGGCUUUCAUUGCCUGUACGAAACAACACUAAGAAAUUUGGAUGGGUUAAAAAGUAUGUGAUUGUAAGCAGUAAGAAGAUUCUUUUCUAUGACAGUGAACAAGAUAAAGAACAAUCCAAUCCUUACAUGGUUUUAGAUAUAGACAAGUUAUUUCAUGUCCGACCAGUUACACAGACAGAUGUGUAUAGAGCAGAUGCUAAAGAAAUUCCAAGGAUAUUCCAGAUUCUGUAUGCCAAUGAAGGAGAAAGUAAGAAGGAAC
RNAcentral lists this small RNA (461 nucleotides) under Pan troglodytes (chimpanzee). RNAcentral describes it as "retained intron". Lineage: Eukaryota; Metazoa; Chordata; Mammalia; Primates; Hominidae. The record is from RNAcentral.